UGGGGAAUAUUGGACAAUGGGCGCAAGCCUGAUCCAGCCAUGCCGCGUGUGUGAAGAAGGCCUUAUGGUUGUAAAGCACUUUAAGCGAGGAGGAGGCUACUUUAGUUAAUACCUAGAGAUAGUGGACGUUACUCGCAGAAUAAGCACCGGCUAACUCUGUGCCAGCAGCCGCGGUAAUACAGAGGGUGCGAGCGUUAAUCGGAUUUACUGGGCGUAAAGCGUGCGUAGGCGGCUAAUUGAGUCGGAUGUGAAAUCCCCGAGCUUAACUUGGGAAUUGCAUUCGAUACUGGUUAGCUAGAGUGUGGGAGAGGAUGGUAGAAUUCCAGGUGUAGCGGAGAAAUGCGUAGAGAUCUGGAGGAAUACCGAUGGCGAAGGCAGCCAUCUGGCCUAACACUGACGCUGAGGUACGAAAGCAUGGGGAGCAAACAGG
This 430-nucleotide ribosomal RNA is filed under the name Pseudomonadota bacterium. RNAcentral describes it as "Proteobacteria bacterium partial 16S ribosomal RNA". It matches the Rfam family "Bacterial small subunit ribosomal RNA", at positions 355 to 776 of the family's 1533-position model. Lineage: Bacteria; Pseudomonadati; Pseudomonadota. The record is from RNAcentral.